Molecule: microRNA precursor, 158 nt
Organism: Medicago truncatula (barrel medic)
Lineage: Eukaryota; Viridiplantae; Streptophyta; Magnoliopsida; Fabales; Fabaceae
Rfam family: MIR2619 microRNA precursor family
Source: Rfam
AAACAGCCCCCUAUGUUUUGAUUCUUUGACAGUUUUGGACCUCCAAGGCAAAAAAAAAAAUAAAAAAUUGACACGUGGUAUCCACGUCAGCGUUGACCGAGUCAACAAUGGACUGAGGGUCCAAAACUGCCAAAGAAUCAAAACAUAUGGGGCUGUUU